This 278-nucleotide ribosomal RNA is filed under the name Triticum aestivum (bread wheat). Its description in RNAcentral is "rRNA LSU_rRNA_eukarya". It matches the Rfam family "Eukaryotic large subunit ribosomal RNA", at positions 675 to 954 of the family's 3401-position model. Lineage: Eukaryota; Viridiplantae; Streptophyta; Magnoliopsida; Poales; Poaceae. The record is from Rfam by way of RNAcentral.
CUGACAUACGUGCGAGUCGACGGGUUCUGAAACCUGGGAUGCGCAAGGAAGCUGACGAGCGGGAGGCCCUCACGGGCCGCACCGCUGGCCGACCCUGAUCUUCUGUGAAGGGUUCGAGUUGGAGCACGCCUGUCGGGACCCGAAAGAUGGUGAACUAUGCCUAAGCGGGGCGAAGCCAGAGGAAACUCUGGUGGAGGCUCGAAGCGAUACUGACGUGCAAAUCGUUCGUCUGACUUGGGUAUAGGGGCGAAAGACUAAUCGAACCAUCUAGUAGCUGG